AUGGCCCGGCCCGAGCCGCGCAGGGGGCGCCCUCUGGCCUGGCCGCCGCUCGCCCGGGGGCUGCGGCCAACUCAGCGGGCCGCCAUCCGAGCGCGGGAGGCCGGGGGGAAAGUUUGGCCGCAAGUUGCGCGGCCGCCCGUGGCGGGGGGGGAGGGGCGGCGGGCGCGCGCCGGGGCCGGUCGCCGCGCCCCCCGGGUCCCCCGGCGCCGGCGACUGCCGCUGCGGGCCUGCAGGGCCGCGGGGCCGGCGCCUCCGGAGCUGCCGCCCCCGCUGCGGCCGCUCCCGCCUGGCCUGGGCCUGCGCCUGGGCCCGAGCCUCGCUCUCGCCGCCGCCACCGCCGCCGACCCCGCGCGCCGGCCUCGCGCUGCGGCCGGUUUGACACACAGCGUUCCAUUCGCGGGGCGGGCGGGGGGCGGGGGCGGGGGCAGGGGCGCGCGCCGCGGGCUGGGGGCGGGCGCUCGUUGCCCCGGCGACGGCCGCCCUUAUAAGGGCAUGGGUGGCCGCGCGCGGCGCCAGGCGAUCGGGCCGGCGGGAGGGACGGGGGCCGAGCGCGGGGCCGCGGGGCCUGACCCUCCCCCGCCUACCCCUGCCCCUCCCCCGCACCCCCGCCCUCGCCCUCGCCCGGCUCCAGCCUUAACCCCUGCCGGGCCGCGGCGGGAGCUUGAGCCGCGCCUGCCCUCUGCCCUUCUUGAGCCUCGCCAAGAUGUCUCUCCAAGGCCCUCCCCCUCCACCUAUGGCCUUGGACGUUGGUUCGCUCGAUCACCCUCGAGGCGCCCCUCGGAACCUCCCCCGCCCCACGUUCCCGGCAUAGCAGUGAUGGGGGUCCAGUGGCACCCGGGGGGGGGCACGCCCCUGCGCGAGACACACACACACACACACACAGAGCCUAGAUUGUGUUUGCUUCCUCUUCCACAAAGUCGCGGUGUCUGGCCCCCACCCCACCCUUUCUCUGCUUGGGUUAACACCUGGUGCCCGGAAUCUCUAGGGGGAAGGGAUGUUGUGGUCUGA
Molecule: long non-coding RNA, 1008 nt
Filed under: Callithrix jacchus (white-tufted-ear marmoset)
Lineage: Eukaryota; Metazoa; Chordata; Mammalia; Primates; Cebidae
Description: lncRNA (ENSCJAG00000084744.1)
Source: RNAcentral